UACGGAGGGUGCUAGCGUUAUUCGGAAUUACUGGGCGUAAAGCGUUCGUAGGCGGCUUUGUAAGUCAGAGGUGAAAGCCCACGACUCAAUCGUGGAACUGCCUUUGAGACUGCUUCGCUUGAAGAUGGGAAAGGUUAGUGGAAUUCCGCGUGUAGAGGUGAAAUUCGUAGAUAUGCGGAGGAACACCAGUGGCGAAGGCGGCUAACUGGACCAUUCUUGACGCUGAGGAACGAAAGCGUGGGGAGCAAACAGG
This 253-nucleotide ribosomal RNA is filed under the name uncultured bacterium. RNAcentral describes it as "partial 16S ribosomal RNA". It matches the Rfam family "Bacterial small subunit ribosomal RNA", at positions 524 to 776 of the family's 1533-position model. The record is from RNAcentral.